Molecule: ribosomal RNA, 253 nt
Filed under: uncultured bacterium
Lineage: Bacteria
Description: partial 16S ribosomal RNA
Rfam family: Bacterial small subunit ribosomal RNA
Source: RNAcentral
UACAGAGGUCCCAAGCGUUGUUCGGAUUCAUUGGGCGUAAAGGGUGCGUAGGUGGCGUCGUAAGUCGGGUGUGAAAUCUCGGGGCUUAACUCCGAAACUGCAUUCGAUACUGCGGUGCUUGAGGACUGGAGAGGAGACUGGAAUUUACGGUGUAGCAGUGAAAUGCGUAGAGAUCGUAAGGAAGACCAGUGGCGAAGGCGGGCCUCUGGACAGUUCCUGACACUGAGGCACGAAGGCCAGGGGAGCAAACGGG